UGGGGUGAUUUUGGAGGAAGAACCUCUAAGUUUUCAUCUUUCUUGAAGUUACAGGGUAACUUUGGCAAUAAACUUUCCUCUACUUUAAAUAUAUGCAAACUAAUGGUUUAGGGUUUCAAUUUCGGUUGUUUUAUGAGAAAAUAUCAUGGUUUGAAGUUGUGUUGUGAAAUUUUCAAUUUUAUGGUACUUUUCUGUCCACGUAUGAUAGUUAAGUGUUGGCCAUGGUUUGGUAGCUUUUCUAUGUGAAAUAUCUAGAUUUUAUAUGCUAGUUUGACUUGCCUAAAGAAACUUCCAGCUUGUGAUUAGGAAUUUCAGCUUAGGGUUUCAUUUUCUAACUUGAAUAGGUGACAGUUAUAUGCUUGAUGUAGUGAGUUGUUGGCUUGAUAUUUAUAUGCUUGAGUUGAAGUUAUUUCAUGGGAUGAAUGAAGCCUCGAAUGGGCUCGAAAAAGUUAGUAAACACAAAGGAAGUGCCGCUGAAAAUUUUUUCGCAGGGAACCUUGGAAAGUUUUACGAAAUCUGUUAUAUC
Molecule: long non-coding RNA, 526 nt
Filed under: Coffea arabica (coffee)
Lineage: Eukaryota; Viridiplantae; Streptophyta; Magnoliopsida; Gentianales; Rubiaceae
Description: long non-coding RNA (CARA_LNC005374)
Source: RNAcentral